GUAGGUGGCGAGCGUUGUCCGGAAUUAUUGGGCGUAAAGCGCGCGCAGGCGGUUCUUUAAGUCUGAUGUGAAAGCCCACGGCUCAACCGUGGAGGGUCAUUGGAAACUGGAGAACUUGAGUACAGAAGAGGAAAGCGGAAUUCCACGUGUAGCGGUGAAAUGCGUAGAGAUGUGGAGGAACACCAGUGGCGAAGGCGGCUUUCUGGUCUGUAACUGACGCUGAGGCGCGAAAGCGUGGGGGAGCAAACAGGAUUAGAUACCCUGGUAGUCCACGCCGUAAACCGAUGAGUGCUAAGUGUUAGGGGGUUUCCGCCCCUUAGUGCUGCAGCUAACGCAUUAAGCACUCCGCCUGGGAGUACGGCCGCAAGGCUG
This 372-nucleotide ribosomal RNA is filed under the name uncultured organism. RNAcentral's name for it is "partial 16S ribosomal RNA". It matches the Rfam family "Bacterial small subunit ribosomal RNA", at positions 527 to 896 of the family's 1533-position model. The record is from RNAcentral.